AAGGCUAUAGUCAAUAGUUAUGACAUAUAAGUUGCAUUUAUAAAGAGUAUUUUAUACUAGCUUU
Molecule: transfer RNA, 64 nt
Filed under: Quadrella coronata
Lineage: Eukaryota; Metazoa; Arthropoda; Malacostraca; Decapoda; Trapeziidae
Description: tRNA-Ala
Source: RNAcentral